RNAcentral lists this ribosomal RNA (386 nucleotides) under uncultured bacterium. Its description in RNAcentral is "bacterial SSU rRNA". It matches the Rfam family "Bacterial small subunit ribosomal RNA", at positions 29 to 417 of the family's 1533-position model. The record is from RNAcentral.
AUUGAACGCUGGCGGCAUGCCUUACACAUGCAAGUCGAGCGGCAGCGCGGGGGCAACCCUGGCGGCGAGCGGCGCACGGGUGAGUAAUACAUCGGAACGUGUCCUUUCGUGGGGGAUAACCAGUCGAAAGACUGGCCAAUACCGCAUGAGAUCUCACGAUGAAAGCGGGGGACCGCAAGGCCUCGCGCGAUUGGAGCGGCCGAUGUCGGAUUAGCUAGUGGCGGGGUAAAAGCCCACCAAGGCGACGAUCCGUAGCUGGUUUGAGAGAACGACCAGCCACACUGGGACUGAGACACGGCCCAGACUCCUACGGGAGGCAGCAGUGGGGAAUUUUGGACAAUGGGGGCAACCCUGAUCCAGCCAUGCCGCGUGUGUGAAGAAGGCCU